Molecule: transfer RNA, 92 nt
Filed under: Hyphomicrobiales bacterium
Lineage: Bacteria; Pseudomonadati; Pseudomonadota; Alphaproteobacteria; Hyphomicrobiales
Also listed under: 1 other name
Description: Rhizobiales bacterium (sediment metagenome) tRNA-Ser
Rfam family: tRNA
About the family: Transfer RNA (tRNA) molecules are approximately 80 nucleotides in length. Their secondary structure includes four short double-helical elements and three loops (D, anti-codon, and T loops).
Source: RNAcentral
GGAGCUGUGGCCGAGUGGCUGAAGGCGCUGGUUUGCUAAACCAGUAUACCUGGUAACGGGUAUCGAGGGUUCGAAUCCCUCCGGCUCCGCCA